UAAAGAUCGAUAAAAUCCUUUGUUUCCCUUUCCUUUUUUAUUUAUCUAUUUGUAUUUAUUCUUUUAUUUUAUUCUAUUGGUAUUUUAUUCUAUUGCUUUUGUUUAUAUUCUGUUAUAUCAUAUUCCUUAUUAUAUAUUUUAUAAUAAAUUUUUAUAAUUUCAUAGUUGGAAGCUACAAAGGGAGAUUCAUGAAUUUGUGAGCCUAAUCGUAAUAUAGUUUAUAAGCUAUGAACUUAAUGGUGGUCCAACGAUAAAUCUUGUUGAUCAUAAUAUUAGAUGGAGAAUGCACAGCCGAAAGCUAGCAUUUGGCUAUGUUAUUUCAGAUCUAAUUUUGAUUUAGGACUCUUAAGAAAACAAGGGCCUUCUGAUUUAAAUUAGGCUGAAAGUUUGUCUUGUGUUAGAGCACUCUCAGACCAAUUACAUAAAUUUUGAUAGAAAAAAUUCUUUUUGUCAGCAUAUUUAUUCUUCAUUCGUUGUAAUUUACAGAAAAACAGGGAAGGUCAUUUAACUAAUCAAAACAUGAGUAUAUAUAACAAUACUUUCGUAUAGAAAAGAUUCUCAAAUUUAAUGUAACCUCUGUCAUUGCUCAUAAGCCCAUCUGUUCCCAUCUUCUUUUUCUCCACUUCAACCCUCUCUCACUUGUGUAAAUGGCUUCCUUUCCCAGAGGUACUCUUCAGAGUCAACCAUCUGUUUGCCACUUACCCACUAGCUACUGCCACUAGCAAUCAUUACCCACUAGCUACUGCCACCACCAAUCAUUACCCACUUGUCCUCUCUCUUUCUCUCUCAACUAUUUGAGGGCCUUGGGUUACACAUACAUUAUAUUCUGACUGAGCUACCAAAAAGUUUCUAUUUGAACUGGUGAGCUGUGUCCAUCUCAACUAAGUCAAACGUGGUUCAUGCUAUCCUGACCCAAGUCAGGCCCCAUUUCUAGCACCAAGUUUGUGUUCCAUAAUCAAUAAUAUGAAAGGUCAAGGUGUUUAAUGCUCCAUUAUCAAGUGGGGUACUUAAACAAUAUUAUAAACAUGCAGUG
RNAcentral lists this long non-coding RNA (1033 nucleotides) under Elaeis guineensis (African oil palm). RNAcentral describes it as "long non-coding RNA (EGUI_LNC007455)". The record is from RNAcentral. Lineage: Eukaryota; Viridiplantae; Streptophyta; Magnoliopsida; Arecales; Arecaceae.